CCUUGACAAGUCUUGUCGAGGAAAAGUGCCUGAAGGGGUUUGUCGAAUUCCACCUUCCAGUUUCGCUCCGUCCUUCUGCGCAGCAGCAAUUGGUCGCAUUUUUUUUAUUAUUUCCCUCUUCCGUCCGUCUACAGGAUGAAAUGAGGUGAAGGAAGGAGAGGCAGAAGGAGAGGGGGAUGAAUAGCCGAAGGGAUAGGUGAAUAACGACGCAAGAAACACCCACCCCCAGUUUUAGUCUGUACUGACUGACGGAAUAGGAGCCUGAGAGAGCGUGAGACAGACAAGGGAGACAGACAGACACUCUGGGGAUUGAGAGGAUCCGCGGGGAAUAGGAGCGUUUAGGAUUUGAUGUAUUGUGCAGAAGGAGCAUCACAGUUGUAAGGAUGCUGGUUGUAGGACUCCCAAUAAGGACGUGGUGUCCUCUGCUCUUCCUGGUGUUGGCUGUACAUUUCCCAGCUCCUGCCCAGGGUCAAGUUCCGGCUCCCAGAAGAUUACGUUUUAAAGUCCUGG
This is a long non-coding RNA of Coregonus clupeaformis (lake whitefish), 510 nucleotides long. RefSeq lists it as uncharacterized. The transcript is spliced from 3 exons. The record is from RefSeq and is a predicted model, not a curated record. NCBI's taxonomy places the organism in Eukaryota, Metazoa, Chordata, Actinopteri, Salmoniformes, Salmonidae.